UCUUCUUCACUCGGAUUGCUGACAUGGCAAGUUGUGCCUUGCGUCCCAAGCCUCCUAGGCUGCGUAGCUUCCUCAGCACGCCUCUUUUACACUAGCAGAAGCUUGCUUAGCACGUUUUGAGACACUCCUUCAUCUAUAAAAGGAAGACUCCUUCCAUUGUAAAAUCCAACUUUGAAUUGAUAAUGAAAUGCUGUUGGGAUUUCAGAGUUCAACUUGUUUGUGCCUAUUCUGCACCUUCUCCUCUAGCUUCCUUCCCUCUUGGAAGGCUUUUGGAGCUUGAGAUACCUUCAACACUCUUCACACCUUCAUUGAAUCACUCAUCAAACACUUACCGUGCAUAACUUCCAUCCUCCAAAGUUCAUAAGUCCGCUGCCAAUUCUGGUUUAGGAAGCUGUUCGUGCUUGAUAUACGAAGUAGUUUCCAUCAUUCGGCAUCAAGAGCCAGCUGUUCCAGCCACGCAUCAAGAGCUAAGUGAUAGCUUUACUUCAUUCGGUCAUGUAUUGUUCCAUUCGUUCAAAUUUUUCUUUUUCAAUCUUUGCUUCGGUUUAUUCUGCUGUCCUGUGAAUGUUUGAUCCAUUUCACUGUUCUAUAGCUUUUAUUUCUUCAUUUUAAUCGAUGCUUCCUUUAAAUUUUCUUUCAAUUCAGCUUGAUUCUCAUUUCAAUUUGUCUCGGUCAUGUGUACUGUUAUGGCAUUGCUUUUGCUGUUCAUAUAGUAAUUCCAUUCCAGCUUUCAAUUUUUUUCGUUUUGAUUGAGGCAUGUGCGUUGCUAGCUAUCUGUUAAUCAUAAAAAGCACUGCUAUCGUGUUUAGCUUGGAUAAUUUCAGCUGACAGCUUUACACUCUGAAUUUUCGUUCCAAAUUCUGCAUCGCAUUCCUUUUUCUCGGGUUGAUCAUGUGUGUGCUGCUUAGAUCCACAUUUCUGUUGUUUUAAGCUUUGUUCAAGACUGUGUUAUGAUUGUGAAUGUGUCCAGAAUGAUUAUAAUUCAUAUGAAUCACAAAUGAGCAAAGUGAGUGAUUGAGUUCUGCAUAAUUUGGUAUAACUUCAUUCUGUCCAGUUUUUCGUAUUCUGCACCUAUGAACAACUUUGCUUCAUGUGUUUGAUCAAUUAUCAACUGAUUAUAACCUUUGUUAAGUGCCUAAUCCAAAUUUGAGUGGUUCAGUUGUGAAAAUUUUCAUUUUGCACUGUUCAUAUUGUCACGGUUUGUGUAUUCAAGCAGCUUUAGCACCGUGCUGCUGUGUCCUUGAUUGUGUCUUAGGGCAUUUUUAAUUCUCCUAGCUCAUCUUUUCUAAGCUAGAUCUAGUAUAUAGGACCAUUCUUAUAUGUUGUUUGAUCCAACCAGCAUUGAUUCUAUGCCAUUUUUCAAAUCUGAUGCAAAUUUCAUGUGUUUUUUCUGCAUUUCAAGCAACUGAGGCAGUGAUUUGGUGAGUUUACAUGUUUUUGUGCAUCUUCUCUGUUUGAAAAAGUUUAUUUGGACAUUUUAAACUUGUUCCAAGUGUCUAUUUGGCCAUCCACCAGUCCAGCCACUAAAUCACAGUUUCACUUCCAUUUUAGAUUGAAAUUUGCAAGUGCACCUGUCAUAUUUUGCUGCAGUCAAUUUCUUUGCUGCCUAGGUGUUUGUACACUUCCAUUUUGUUGAUAUGAAGUUAAUUGAAGUGUCAUUUGAGUCUUGUAGCCACUGCCACUGAAUUCACCCACGGGAUUGCCCAUUUUUCUGGCCAUUUCCUUAGCUUUGGUGCAGUUUUAUUCUUUUAAUUCUGCAUAAACCGUAACUGCAAUUGUGCAAUUGAGUUGCUGCAUGUUUCAGUGCUGUUCCACUAUUUGUACCAGUCUAUUUGGGGAUUUGAAAGUUGUCUUUACUGUACAUUUGGUCACUUUUACCAGAUUUUGCAAAUUCAUGUUUCUACACCAUCAUAGUUGCUGGAAAGUGGAACUACACCACUGAUUUUCAGCUGCCAACUCUUUGCUUGCUGUUUAAGUGUUUGAUCAUCUUUUAUUUGAUGAAAUAAGUUUGCUGGAAGCCUCAAUUACACCUUAAAUACAUUACCAUUCAUUUUCACCACUGCUGUAUUCAUUUUUAACCAUUUUAGUGCAGAUUUUGCCUCAUGUGCUUGCUGUUUGCACUUUCUCCAGCCAUAAAAUUCAAUUCUGGAUUGGCAAAAGCUGGUUUCAAGUUUCCACAUGCUAUUAUAUGAUUAAAUAAGUCUAAAACAUCAACAAAAAGCAAAAGAAAACCAAACAAUUCAGUUUUGACCAUCCAAACCGAAAAUACCCGAAAUUCUGCACUUCAUUGAGGACUUUUAUCAAACAGUUUCAUCUUUUCAUCAAACACUUUUGCUGCACCUGUUUUAAUUCAAUUUUUGAGUCUUUCAUUGAUUUUAUAAUCGGUUCUAGACCCUAUCCUAGGUUCCUUUUGAGUGAUACCUUUUAUUCCAGCUGUAUCUCUCUUGAAUUCAUCAUUUUUGGCUUCCAUACUAUACUUGAAAUCUGGUUUGCUUAAUUAAUUUCUGGUGCAGCAGCUGUUUUCAUUCUUCACGGUUUUGGUGUGUUUGGCAGUGGUGUGUCACUUCUGUUGAGGUGCUCCAGCUCCAGAAAUUUCUCUUCAAGAGGGUAGCAUCCUAGGAAGUGGAGAGUUUGUAGAAUUGGAUACAAAGGUUGUUCUCCAAGCUGCAGUUUUGUUUCAGCAAUCAGCAGCAUUUCUCCAUUCUUCACCCCACACUUUUCAAACACUUUGGAGCUAUACAACAUCAAGCUUUAGUAGAUUCUCAUUGUAUACAUAUUGUUGCUCAUUUUAUUACUUUUAAAGCCUUGUAUCACGGAACCUUUGAAGUUUAAUUUUCUUUACUUCAUACUUCAAGUACCUUGGGAAAAUGCUUUUCAAGCAAUUCCAAGUCUACUAAGCAACAUUGUAAUAGUUAGUUUCCACCUCUUAGUGUGAAAGUGUGUCAAGGGGCUACAAGUGUCACUUGCACUUUCACAUAAGGCCGUUUAUCAUUGUCUUCCA
RNAcentral lists this long non-coding RNA (3001 nucleotides) under Vigna radiata. RNAcentral's name for it is "long non-coding RNA (VRAD_LNC013880)". Lineage: Eukaryota; Viridiplantae; Streptophyta; Magnoliopsida; Fabales; Fabaceae. The record is from RNAcentral.